This 253-nucleotide ribosomal RNA is filed under the name uncultured bacterium. Its description in RNAcentral is "partial 16S ribosomal RNA". It matches the Rfam family "Bacterial small subunit ribosomal RNA", at positions 524 to 776 of the family's 1533-position model. The record is from RNAcentral.
UACGGGGGGGGCAAGCGUUGUUCGGAAUUACUGGGCGUAAAGGGCUGGUAGGCGGCCAACUAAGUCGGAUGUGAAAUCCCCAGGCUUAACCUGGGAACUGCAUCCGAUACUGGUCGGCUUGAAUCCGGGAGAGGGAUGCAGAAUUCCAGGUGUAGCGGUGAAAUGCGUAGAUAUCUGGAGGAAUACCGGUGGCGAAGGCGGCAUCCUGGACCGGCAUUGACGCUGAACAGCGAAAGCGUGGGGAGCGAACAGG